UACGUAGGGUGCAAGCGUUGUCCGGAAUUAUUGGGCGUAAAGAGCUCGUAGGCGGUUUGUCGCGUCGACUGUGAAACCCCGAGGCUUAACCUCGGGCCUGCAGUCGAUACGGGCAGACUAGAGUUCGGUAGGGGAGACUGGAAUUCCUGGUGUAGCGGUGAAAUGCGCAGAUAUCUGGAGGAACACCGGUGGCGAAGGCGGCGUUCUGGACUGCAACUGACACUGAAAAACGAAAGCCAGGGGAGCAAACGGG
This 253-nucleotide ribosomal RNA is filed under the name uncultured bacterium. RNAcentral's name for it is "partial 16S ribosomal RNA". It matches the Rfam family "Bacterial small subunit ribosomal RNA", at positions 524 to 776 of the family's 1533-position model. The record is from RNAcentral.